RNAcentral lists this ribosomal RNA (857 nucleotides) under uncultured bacterium. RNAcentral's name for it is "bacterial SSU rRNA". It matches the Rfam family "Bacterial small subunit ribosomal RNA", at positions 69 to 925 of the family's 1533-position model. The record is from RNAcentral.
GGGAAAGUCCUUCGGGAUGAGUACAGCGGCAGACGGGUGAGAAACGCGUGAGAAUUUACCAUUCAGUGAGGAAUACCCUCGAGAAAUCGAGGUUAAUACUGCAUACGUCCUACGGGAGAAAGGUGGCCUCUUGCUGCCGCUGAAUGAUUAGCUUGCGUACUAUUAGCUAGUUGGUAGGGUAAAGGCCUACCAAGGCGAUGAUGGUUAGCCGGCCUGAGAGGGUGUACGGCCACACUGGAACUUAGAUACGGUCCAGACUCCUACGGGAGGCAGCAGUGGGGAAUAUUGCGCAAUGGGCGAAAGCCUGACGCAGCGACGCCGCGUGGAGGAUGAAGGUCUUCGGAUUGUAAACUUCUGUUAAGUGGGAAGAAAUGCCCAUCUCUAAUACAGAUGGGAAAUGACGGUACCAUUAGAGAAAGCACCGGCUAACUUCGUGCCAGCAGCCGCGGUAAUACGAAGGGUGCGAGCGUUAUUCGGAAUCAUUGGGCGUAAAGGGUGCGUAGACGGUAUAUUAAGUCUGUUGUUAAAUCCUCCGGCCUAACCGGGGAAUCGCAGUGGAAACUAAUAUGCUAGAGGGUGGAAGAGAGAAGUGGAAUUCUCGGAGUAUCGGUAAAAUGCGUAGAUCUCGAGAGGAACACCAAUGGCGAAGGCAGCUUCUUGGUCCAUACCUGACGUUGANGCACGAAAGCGUGGGGAGCAAACAGGAUUAGAUACCCUGGUAGUCCACGCUGUAAACGAUGAUCACUAGAUGUCAGUUCUGUUUUUACAGAAUUGGUAUCGUAGCUUAACGCGAUAAGUGAUCCGCCUGGGGACUACGAUCGCAAGAUUAAAACUCAAGAAAUUGACGGGGGCCCCCC